This is a long non-coding RNA of Herpailurus yagouaroundi (jaguarundi), 553 nucleotides long. RefSeq lists it as uncharacterized. The transcript has 3 exons. NCBI's taxonomy places the organism in Eukaryota, Metazoa, Chordata, Mammalia, Carnivora, Felidae. The record is from RefSeq and is a predicted model, not a curated record.
CCUGUAGCCAAGGAGCUAUUCCCCUUCAUUCAAAACAAAAUCAAGGAUGGAAGGGAGGGGAGAGGAAGGAUGUUCGUUUGUUCAUUCACUGGACAUUCACCGGGCACUUUUGGGGAUUGGGGGAGGUCACUGCUGUAAGACACCCCAGCCAGUCCUCACAGAGACAAAUACGAAAGCACACCCAUGCAUUCUGUUUUUGAUACGCUUGUGUUGAUACAGGUGGAGGCUUUCUUUUGGGUAUGACACGUUCUUCUGACCAUGAAAAGGGCAAUCACGGAGGAGAUGUUUCAUUAUCAAGCAACUUCGAGACUAGUGAUUGACCAAACACCUGGGCACCUAGGCCCCCACAUCACACACAUGGAACUUCAGCAGCAACAUUGGAUGAGUUUCACACCCAGAUGAAGUCUGUUGCUAGGCUCCCUUGACUUCAGCCCUGUGAAGCACGUCUUAUUUUUCCUAUUUUCUAGAAGAGGAAAGUAAACCCAGAGAACGGAAGGACUUUGCUCCAACUCACACAGCAAAAAAGAGGCCGAGCUUGUGACCAGCUCGCUAU